This is a long non-coding RNA of Melopsittacus undulatus (budgerigar), 1941 nucleotides long. RefSeq lists it as uncharacterized. The record is from RefSeq and is a predicted model, not a curated record. The transcript is spliced from 3 exons. NCBI's taxonomy places the organism in Eukaryota, Metazoa, Chordata, Aves, Psittaciformes, Psittaculidae.
CCCUGCAUCUGCAAGCACAAAAAUUCAACUGCUACUGCAGUUGAGGAGCAGAGGAGCGUUCGUUUCAACUCAAACAUAGCAGCAAGAGCUCCCAAAGGAAAGGGUCCUCCUAGAGAUCUGUGCCCUCCAUACCCAGCCAAGCUUUCCUCAGCUCUCACCUUCUGCACUGUGAUGACAGCCUCUUGGGUAUUGCUGUCUGUGGUGACUUUGAACAUCUCCACUGCUUCCUCAUCCUUCACCUGGAUGCCUCCUGCUUUGCUGCCCACAAGCUGUCUUUCAUUUCUCCAGGAGCACAUGGCUGUAGUUCAAGAGGUCACUCUGACUUGGGAAAGGAUUAUGCAGCUCUGGUCUCAUCUGGAAUCCCUGGGAUUUGGAGGCGGUUUUGCAGGGUGCAGCAGGCUUCAGGUUUGACAGGAGCGGCACACAGGUUCUCCAGCCCCCCUCCUCCCAGCCAGGAGACCUACCGAUGGGGGAGAGCUCAGCCACGCUGCCGAUGUAGGGCCCCUCCAGGAAGCGCGGCUCGCUGUCGUUGAUGUCCUGCACCUUGAUGAUGAACUCUGACUCAGGCUCCAGUAACUGGUCCGUCUGCCGGUCGCGGGCCUGAGCCCGCAGCGUGUAGAAGGUUUUCUGCUCCCGGUCCAGGCGCUCAGUGGCAUGGAUGUCGCCUGUGAUCUCAUCGAUGAGGAAGAUAGUCCCUGCGCCCUCCCCGGAGAUAGUGUACUUGAUGGAGCCGUCCCCCUCAUCCGAGUCUGAGUGGAUCUGUCAGGGAAAGAGGGAGAGGGUAGGAGCAAGCUGGGGCCAUGCUUGUACCCCUGUGGCCAAGACUGCAUGAUGUGGAGCCCAUGGUGCCUGUGUGAUGUCUGUCACCAGGGAGAGGCACAGAGCACCACCAACUCAUGCCUGGGCAUGGAAAAAGGCUCAAUAAAUUGGAACUUCAGUCCUACCUAUGCCACCCAUACACCUGGCAGAUCACAAAUCCUGCCAGUACCCACCCAUACCACAAACCAAGGGACUAACCCACCACUGUGAGGUUCAGAGAUAAUGGAAGAGGUAAAGACAACUCAACAGCACCCCCAAAAAGGAAGCUUCCCUGUGGGCAAGGACUCCAGACCCCAGUGUGGGAUCAUCUCUCCCAGGCUGCACAAAGCAGAUCAAGGUAUAGAGGCAGCUCUCCACCAGCAUCUGUUCUUACCUUCCAGCUCUGCCCCACCACAGCAGCUCUCUGCCUUGGGAGCAGUUGGUGGUGACAAGUCUCCCUGCUUGAGAGCUCAGGUACUCGCUGAACAUCUGUAUUGGGUUUAUGUGGUAAGGCAACAGGGGAGUCAACCCAUGAUAACAUCACACCCACAGCCCCCAACCCAAGCAAAGACUGCAGGAGAAUGUGGCAAAUCAGGCCCAUGUUCAGGAUGAAAAACAGGCCCUGUGGAAGAUGCUUUUGUAGCCAAUCUCCACUUCAUUUUCUAAUUAAAACAGUGUUUGAAAUCAGGGAAAGAAAGGGUAAACAGCUCCUCACAGACCAGAAGCUGAGUGAAAUCCAGGCCAGACAUCCAGAGAUAAUUUUAUUGGUGGCAUUAAACUGAGUUAUGAGGUUGUUACAAUCCAGCCACUUAUGAGAAAUCUAUUAACAGUAACUGGACAGGCAGAAUGCAUCAUGACAAGAGAGCAGCAUAGGCAUUAAUUGGGACAAUCCGUAACAGGACAGGAUCCUGGAAAGACUUCAUCAAUUGCUUUCAUUUGCUUCCUAAAAUUUCUGCUUAAAAUGAGCAGUCGUGUGUGUGUGUGUGUGUGUCCCAAAAAAACCUGUCCAUUAAUCGGCUAAUGAAAUAUGAAAAUGUUUAUGGGCCCUUCAAUCUUCAAAACUGCAGUUCUAUAAUCCACCUUUCAGACAUACAGCUCUACCAGCAAGAAUUUAUACCAGAGCUGCCUCUUUUUUACGAUGCC